Pieris rapae (cabbage white) is the source of this 742-nucleotide long non-coding RNA. RefSeq lists it as uncharacterized. The record is from RefSeq and is a predicted model, not a curated record. NCBI's taxonomy places the organism in Eukaryota, Metazoa, Arthropoda, Insecta, Lepidoptera, Pieridae. The transcript has 4 exons.
GUUUCAAUUAUAUUUUGUGUUUGUUACACGUUCAUAUUCAUAGGUGGUAUUAAAGGACAAAACAGCAAGCUUUUUGGUGUGUCCAACCGUUUGCUGCAAGUCACAAAAUUCGUGGAUCCAUGCAGCGAUGUCUGCCAGGAUUUGGCUGCUGAUGAUAAGGAGCCAGUGUGUAUGAUCUUCAGCCGGUAUAAGAAAGGCUAUCAAUUCUUUGUUAAUCUGUGCCAUGCCAGGCGAACUAUUUGCAAGGAAAAUACGGUAAUGCAUAUAGUACACUCAAGCAGAUGUCUGAAGAGUAGACUGUUUUUUAUGCCAAUAAAUUAACGUAAGCAAAAAAUACAAGUCAACAAAAAUUAAAUAGAACGUUCAUUAAGAGCAUAAUUUAAAAGUAAGACGAGAGAUUCACGGGAUCAUUAAAACUAACAUCAACAAGCCGUAGGUGCCGUCAAUUUCCGCCACUGAAGCUGCCAUACAAAAAUAUUGAACAUAGGUUUUCCUUAUUUUUAUAUUCAUUUUAAAAAACUCAGUUCAACAUUUUAUUAAACGCUGAAAAUUUCAAGUACUUAUUGUUAACGAUUUCAUUUUGAAUUUAUACAUGGGACUCACAUACAAAACUCAGUUGUAGAAUACCUUGCCUCGACGCAUUUUAACGUGUUUCAAGGUUUAACUAACAUCUAAACGAGGGGUGGGCAAUCUUUUUUUAUGGCAGGCCAUAAAGUUAAAAAUUUCUCGAAGUGGGCCAGAA